CCUACGGGUGGCUGCAGUGGGGAAUAUUGGACAAUGGGCGAAAGCCUGAUCCAGCCAUGCCGCGUGUGUGAAGAAGGCCUUCGGGUUGUAAAGCACUUUCAGUGGGGAAGAAAGCCUUGGGGCUAAUACCCUCGAGGAAGGACAUCACCCACAGAAGAAGCACCGGCUAACUCCGUGCCAGCAGCCGCGGUAAUACGGAGGGUGCGAGCGUUAAUCGGAAUUACUGGGCGUAAAGCGCGCGUAGGCGGUCUGUUAAGCCGGUUGUGAAAGCCCCGGGCUCAACCUGGGAACGGCAUCCGGAACUGUCAGGCUAGAGUGCAGGAGAGGAAGGUAGAAUUCCCGGUGUAGCGGUGAAAUGCGUAGAGAUCGGGAGGAAUACCAGUGGCGAAGGCGGCCUUCUGGACUGACACUGACGCUGAGGUGCGAAAGCGUGGGUAGCAAACAGGAUUAGAUACCCCGGUAGUC
This 465-nucleotide ribosomal RNA is filed under the name Vreelandella stevensii. RNAcentral describes it as "partial 16S ribosomal RNA". It matches the Rfam family "Bacterial small subunit ribosomal RNA", at positions 338 to 795 of the family's 1533-position model. The record is from RNAcentral. Lineage: Bacteria; Pseudomonadati; Pseudomonadota; Gammaproteobacteria; Oceanospirillales; Halomonadaceae.